GGUCAAGUUACUAAGAGCAUAGGGUGAAUGCCUUGGCACCAGGAGCCGAUGAAGGACGUGGUAAGCUGCGAUAAGCCUCGGGGAACCGCAAGCAGGUUUUGAUCCGGGGAUUUCCGAAUGGGGAAACCUACUUAAGUAAAGCUUAAGUAACCUAUACUGAAUCCAUAGGUAUUGGUAGGCACACCAGGGGAACUGAAACAUCUAAGUACCCUGAGGAAGAGAAAGAAAACUCGAUUCCCUAAGUAGCGGCGAGCGAAAAGGGAUUAGCCCAAACCAGAAGGUUUUCCUUCUGGGGUUGCGGAUAUGUUCAUCAAAGAAGUGGCUAUUGUAGUCGAAGCGGUCUGGAAAGGCCCACCAUAGGAGGUAAUAGUCCUGUAGGCAAAACAAGAAGACUUCUGAGCAUAAUCCAGAGUACCACGAGACACGUGAAACCUUGUGGGAAGCAGGGGGGACCACCCCCCAAGGCUAAAUACUACCUGGUGACCGAUAGCGUAUAGUACCGUGAGGGAAAGGUGAAAAGAACCCCGGGAGGGGAGUGAAAUAGAACCUGAAACCCUAUGUUUACAAGCAGUGAAAGUCCUUUAUAUGGACGAUCGCGUACUUUUUGUAGAACGGGCCAACGAGUUACGGUAUGCAGCAAGGUUAAGCUGUUAUGCAGCGGAGCCGCAGCGAAAGCGAGUCUUAAUAGGGCGAAUUAGUUGCAUGCCGUAGACCCGAAACCGGGUGACCUAUCCAUGGGCAGGAUGAAGCGGAAGUAAAAUUUCGUGGAGGUCCGAACUCAUUAGUGUUGAAAAACUACGGGAUGACCUGUGGAUAGCGGAGAAAUUCCAAUCGAACUCGGAGAUAGCUGGUUCUCCCCGAAAUAGCUUUAGGGCUAGCCUCAAAGAUUGUGAUACGGAGGUAGAGCACUGAAUGGCCUAGGGGCCCUCACCGGUUACCAAAGCCUAUCAAACUCCGAAUGCCGUAAUCAUUACUUUGGGAGUCAGACUACGUGAGAUAAGUUUCGUGGUCAAAAGGGAAACAGCCCAGACCGUCAGCUAAGGUCCCUAAGUACAGGUUAAGUGGAAAAGGAUGUGGGAUUGCACAGACAACUAGGAUGUUGGCUUAGAAGCAGCCAUUCAUUCAAAGAGUGCGUAAUAGCUCACUAGUCGAGUGAUCCUGCGCCGAAGAUUACCGGGGCUCAAACCUGUCACCGAAGCUACGGCAGUACGUAAGUACUGGGUAGGGGAGCAUUGUAUGCGGGCUGAAGUCAUACCGUAAGGAGUGGUGGACUGCAUACAAGAGAGAAUGUUGGCAUGAGUAGCGAGAGGUGGGUGAGAAUCCCACCCGUCGAAAGCCUAAGGUUUCCUGAGGUAGGUUCGUCCACUCAGGGUUAGUCGGGACCUAAGCCGAGGACGAAAGUCGUAGGCGAUGGACAACAGGUUGAAAUUCCUGUACCACCAAAGAUCGUUUGAGCAAUGGGGUGACACAGGAGGAUAGGUCAAGCGCACCGUUGGUUGUGUGCGUCUAAGCACUUAGGGAGUUAAGAUUGGCAAAUCCGUCUUAACAAUCCUGAGGUGUGAUGGGGAGCGAAAUUUAAGUAGCGAACUUACUGAUUCCACACUGUCAAGAAAAGCCUCUAGUUAGAU
RNAcentral lists this ribosomal RNA (1628 nucleotides) under Anaerosolibacter carboniphilus. RNAcentral's name for it is "Bacterial large subunit ribosomal RNA". It matches the Rfam family "Bacterial large subunit ribosomal RNA", at positions 1 to 1632 of the family's 2925-position model. Lineage: Bacteria; Bacillati; Bacillota; Clostridia; Peptostreptococcales; Thermotaleaceae. The record is from Rfam by way of RNAcentral.